UACGAAGGGUGCGAGCGUUGUUCGGAAUUACUGGGCGUAAAGGGUUCGUAGGCGGGAGGAUAAGUUGAGUGUGAAAACCCCGGGCUUAACCUGGGACCUGCAUUCAAAACUGUCCUUCUUGAGUAUCGGAGAGGGUUGUGGAAUUGCUGGUGUAGGAGUGAAAUCCGUAGAGAUCAGCAGGAACACCUGAGGCGAAAGCGACAACCUGGUCGAAUACUGACGCUGAGGAACGAAAGCGCGGGGAGCAAACAGG
This 253-nucleotide ribosomal RNA is filed under the name uncultured bacterium. RNAcentral's name for it is "partial 16S ribosomal RNA". It matches the Rfam family "Bacterial small subunit ribosomal RNA", at positions 524 to 776 of the family's 1533-position model. The record is from RNAcentral. RNAcentral also lists the same sequence under 1 other name.